This is a non-coding RNA of Triticum aestivum (bread wheat), 115 nucleotides long. Lineage: Eukaryota; Viridiplantae; Streptophyta; Magnoliopsida; Poales; Poaceae. The record is from Rfam.
CAUGUACUCCCUUCGAUCCAUAUUAUUUGUCGCUCAAAUUGAUGAAUCUAGCACUGAAAUACAUCUAGAUACAUCCAUUUGAGCGACAAAUAAUAUGGAUUGGAGGGAGUACAAA